Molecule: ribosomal RNA, 465 nt
Filed under: uncultured bacterium
Lineage: Bacteria
Description: bacterial SSU rRNA
Rfam family: Bacterial small subunit ribosomal RNA
Source: RNAcentral
CCUACGGGUUGCACCAGUGGGGAAUUUUGGACAAUGGGCGAAAGCCUGAUCCAGCAAUGCCGCGUGCAGGAUGAAGGCCCUCGGGUUGUAAACUGCCUUAGUACGGAACGAAAAGACUCUCUCUAAUAAAGAGGGUUGAUGACGGUACCGUAAGAAUAAGCACCGGCUAACUACGUGCCAGCAGCCGCGGUAAUACGUAGGGUGCGAGCGUUAAUCGGAAUUACUGGGCGUAAAGCGUGCGCAGGCGGUUAUGUAAGACAGAGGUAAAAUCCCCGGGCUCAACCUGGGAACGGCCUUUGUGACUGCAUGGCUAGAGUGCGGCAGAGGGGGAUGGAAUUCCGCGUGUAGCAGUGAAAUGCGUAGAUACGCGGAGGAACACCGAUGGCGAAGGCAAUCCCCUGGGCCUACACUGACGCUCAUGCAUGAAAGCGUGGGGAGCAAACAGGAUUAGAUACCCCAGUAGUC